This 107-nucleotide transfer RNA is filed under the name Phaeomoniella chlamydospora. It matches the Rfam family "tRNA". Rfam says of the family: Transfer RNA (tRNA) molecules are approximately 80 nucleotides in length. Their secondary structure includes four short double-helical elements and three loops (D, anti-codon, and T loops). Lineage: Eukaryota; Fungi; Ascomycota; Eurotiomycetes; Phaeomoniellales; Phaeomoniellaceae. The record is from Rfam by way of RNAcentral.
GGUCGCAUGGUCUAACGGUUAUGAUUUCUGCUUAACAGGUUCUCGCUUUUACCAAGCAAAGUCCCGAAAAACGCAGAAGGUUAUGGGUUCGAUUCCCAUUGCGACUA